RNAcentral lists this ribosomal RNA (404 nucleotides) under uncultured bacterium. RNAcentral describes it as "partial 16S ribosomal RNA". It matches the Rfam family "Bacterial small subunit ribosomal RNA", at positions 28 to 526 of the family's 1533-position model. The record is from RNAcentral.
GACGAACGCUGGCGGCGUGCUUAACACAUGCAAGUCGAGCGGAGCGGCGAACGGGUGAGUAACGCGUGAGUAACUGCCCCCCUCUCUGGGAUAACAGUUGGAAACGGCUGCUAAUACCGGUUAGUGGGGGAUGACUCGCGUCCUAUCAGCUUGUUGGUGGGGUAGUGGCCGACGCAGGCGACGACGGGUAGCCGGCCUGCGAGGGCGACCGGCCACAUUGGGCUGGGGUACGGCCCCAACUACUGCGGGAGGCAGCAGUGGAGAAUAUUGCACAAUGGGGGAAACUCGGAUGCAGCCACGCGCGUGCGGGAUGACGGGUGUCGGGUUGUAAACCGCUGUCAGCCAUAACGCGGUAGUUGCAGAAGAAGCACCGGGUAACUACGUGCCAGCCGCCGCGGUAAUUC